UGAGCCUUGUUAAAGCAGCGGCCACCGUUAUGCCGUUAUGCAUCACUUAUCCACAGAUCUGCUAUUGCCAGGAUCGCUUUUACUGUCUUGGAACAUAUGCCGUUAAUUGUUUCUGGUAGAACACUUAACUCAUUCAACUUCGUAUGGAUAUGGCGUGAGGAGUGACCUUCGAGUUUGCUAUGUUUAGAUGCACCUAGCAACAAACAGAUGUUCGUCUGUAAUAAACCCCCUCGUCGGAGAGCAGGAAAGCGACGAAAUAGACUAGAGAAUGUCUGCUCUGUAAGUGCGGCAACUACUCUCUGCCCGGGCCUUCGUCAGUGUUACGGUAUCGUCGC
Molecule: long non-coding RNA, 335 nt
Organism: Varroa destructor (honeybee mite)
Lineage: Eukaryota; Metazoa; Arthropoda; Arachnida; Mesostigmata; Varroidae
Source: RefSeq, a predicted model, not a curated record